Rhagoletis zephyria (snowberry fruit fly) is the source of this 348-nucleotide long non-coding RNA. RefSeq lists it as uncharacterized. The record is from RefSeq and is a predicted model, not a curated record. NCBI's taxonomy places the organism in Eukaryota, Metazoa, Arthropoda, Insecta, Diptera, Tephritidae.
AUUAUUUUUGAUUUGUAAUGGAAAAUCACAAAGAUGUAGGCUCUUGAACUUGCAGAAUGACACGAAAUUUCACCGUAAUAAUCCUACGGGCAACAUUCUAAUAGCACUACCGCUUUCCUAAACGCCUUUCAAAGAGAUUUAAACACAGUAUUGGGCCAUUAAGUUAAGAUAUUAUACCACGCCCUCCCUUGCCGGCAGGCCGAGAUAGAAAAAAAAAACGAGGAACGCUGAAAUUGUACGAUCCAAAAACACAAAUCCCGCACAAAUCGAAUUCUCUGCUACGAUCAAAACAAAAAAAAAAUAAAAUAAAUAAAUAAAAAUAUUAAUGGUAAAAAGCAAGGAAUUCUA